GAGACGGAGAACUACUUCUUUCACUUCACCUUUAUGUUGAGGGGAGGAAAGAGAGAGAGAAGUUUAACCAAACAAUUCUUGUUUUUAAACAUAGCACUACUAAUCAGCUUCACUCAGGAGACGUCGCUGACUCAGCGGAGCCCGGUAGAGGGGAGGAGAGACUGAGGGAGUUGGAGAGAAGCCAGUAUGAUUGGUGCAGAACAACAGACUGACAGCAUGCGUGAACACACCCCCAUCAUGACAGACAGAACCGAAAUAAUUCACAUUUCUACAUCGCCCUCACAAUCAUAAACACCCUGAGGACGGAGUAGCAACGGAGCGUGUGGUCUGGGGGCCCGAGACACGGCUAUAUAAUAUCACUAAUCUAUAGUCCCUAGAAAUCAAACGAAACGCGGCGGGACCUACCUGAAUUUGUCCAAUAGAAAGUUUAGCUUUCGUUGGAAACUGUUACAGUAAUGAAUGCACCCUAGGCCUCAUGGGGCCAUAAGAACUGAGCAGAAGCUGUGACUUUCCAACAUGACUGUUAAAAAAAAAAAAAAGAAGGUUAUUCUGUCUGCACAUGACAUAGGCCACACCCACCUCUGUAAAUAAAUUAGCAAAACAUUCUAAACCUGUUUUUGCUGUGUCCUUUGUCCUUCAUUUUUAGAAUAAGACUGUAUAACGUAACCAAGUUGAAGAAGUCAAAUGGUCUGUGUACUUUCUGAAUGCACUGUAUAUCAGGAAGAAAACACCCGUAACAGCAGAAUCUUAGAAACGGCGCCCUCUUGUGGGGGCCUUUAUAGGUGAUCAUUUCAAAAGCAGUCGCCUUUUUGGUACGACUUCUCAACACACACUUCUUCUGUCUAGAAAAAGUGAAAUAGAUUGGGUGGCCUGCAGAUUUGAAUCCUUCUCUAUAGAGCUGUUUUCAUAUGAAGACAUGACCAAUCUACCACCUGUCUCCUCAGAGGACUACUCCUAGUAGGAAUGUAUUGAUGAUUUGAGUUAUGGAGUCACUGUGUGGUCCAUUUACAGUUGACCUCCCAGCAUAUCCCAACUCCACCUAAAGUCCCGUGGUCUUGACUCUGCUGUAGUUGCGUAACUGUGCGGGAGUUUUGUAAACGAGAACCCUCCUCCACCUGCUAGACACAAGAGACAAUGAUAAUACCAUAUCAGCCUGGCAACUGUCAACAGCUACACACACAUUCCAUGGAUGGAUGGAUGGAUGGAUGGAUGGAUGGAUGGAUGGAUGGAUGGAUGGAUGGAUGGCCGACCUCCUUUCCUAAAAUAGAACUGUGGAGACACCGGAUACAGGAGGCUAUGUGGAGCUCACCGUCUGACUGCUUUGGAUGGGCUGAGGGAGGACGAGAGAGGCACACACACACACACACACACACACACA
Molecule: long non-coding RNA, 1378 nt
Organism: Oncorhynchus keta (chum salmon)
Lineage: Eukaryota; Metazoa; Chordata; Actinopteri; Salmoniformes; Salmonidae
Exons: 3
Source: RefSeq, a predicted model, not a curated record